GCAAAAACUAGAGUUUGGCUUUGGUGCUCUCAAAAUGAAGCCUUUGUUAAACCAGCAUUCUUGGGGCUUUUGCCAGGUAUCUGACAAUCAGGCUUUCCAAAAAUGUAUUGACAUCACAAAUGUAGUUGGCAGAUGAGUGAUGUGUGCGACUAUCAAAAGCAGAAAGGUAGCAAACAUCUUGACGAGACAAGUUUGUGUAUCCACCAACAUGGCAUCAUAAAUUAUACUGCAUUUCAUUCACCAAAGAAAGAAAAUUUGCAGACCUUGUAAAAAUGCCUUCCAUAUCCUGUAGUUAUGACUUACAUUACUUGCUAUCUCACAGUUUGAGAAAAAAGAUAUUAUUAGGCAAUGUGGAUCUCAUAAUUACAAUAAAAGAUUUCAUAAUUGAGAAGAGAUCUAAAGAUUAGAAUAAAAGAAUUAGUACAGAUGUCCUACAGUAUUCUAAUACAUGCCAUUUAGAUAACAACAGAGCAUAACUAUUACAUGCUGUUUACAUGUUACUAUUACAUUAGGAUUUCCAGAAAUCCAGUACAAAUACUUUUGCACAUUAAGUAGUUGUUAAUUAUUAUUUUCUACUCCAGUCUGUCUUUUCACUAAAGAAUAUCUCACUGACUGUCACUAGUUGUUACUGGAUAUGCAGUGGUGCAAUAUCAGUUUGACUAGUAGCCAACACAGUGUUUGAUCAGCAUCCAUUUGUGUUUCUAUCAUCUACUUGUUAGUCUGCAGCUGGGCAAUAUGCCAAUAUUAUACUGAUAUUGUGAUAUGACACAAGGUAUCAUCUUAGAUUUUGGAUAUUGUAAUAACAAAAGUGUUGUUGUUUUUCCUGGGUUUAAAGACUGGGUAACAGUGAAGUGAUAUAAUUUUCUGGAGUUACCAGACUACUCUAGUUGUUCUGUUAUUUGCCUUUACCCACAUCAUAUCCACAUUACUGCUGAUUAUUCAUCAAAAAUCUGUGUAAAUAUUUUAUAAAAGCACCAACAGUCACCCUUAUUAUGUCACAAAAACAUUGACAUUUGAUUUUUCGAUAUUGUCAAGCCCUGAUGAAUAUCAAAAUCGUAACGAAAAUGCAAUUACUAUAUUUCCUGAGGGAGGGGGGAAAUUAAGUUUAACCCUAAAAGAGACUGGCUUUGGAAAUCUGUCAAAUUACAAUAUUGUCUUGCGAUUGACAAUAGCAUUUCAUGAUAGAACAUAAACGUGAAGUCAAAUAGGCAAGGCACCGUCAUUGAUUUGUUUAUAUAAUUAUGGUGGAAGAAGUGAUGAACGGUCAGACCAAUGACAGGUUCCCGGGGGACAUGGGAGUGCAUCUAACCGCAGACAGAUUCGCCACCUUCUUCUGUGCAAUGCAACAGACUGACAUUCAACAUCCUGACCGUCCAUACCCAUUGAGUGCACAGUUGCCCACAUACAGUUUCACAUGUCUGGUGAGGAGGAUGAAACCCUGGCAGUGAGAUGCACCAACAGACAUCAAAACUAGCCCCAUCUGCCACAAGUGCCAUGCCCUACAUUUGAACGCUCACAAGGACACACAUAAAUGGAACUGCACACUAAUGAAAUCCAUCCAUCCAUCCAUCCAUCCAUCCAUCCAUCCAUCCAUCCACCCAUCCAUUUUCUAACUGCUUAUCCUCGUAGAGGGUCACGGGGGGGCUGGAGCCUAUCCCAGCUGACAUUGGUUGCGAGGCAGGGCACACCCUGGACACUUUGCCAGACUAUCGCAGGGCUGACAUGUAGAGACAGACAACCAUUCACAUUCACACCUACGGACAAUUUAGAGUCACCAAUUAACCUAUCCCCAACCUGCAUGUCUUUGGACUGUGGGAGGAAGCCGGAGUACCCGGAGAGAACCCACGGUGACACAAGGAGAGCAUGCAAACUCCGCACAGAAGGAGCUCCCACACCCGGGAUCGAACCAGGAACCCUCUUGCUGUGACAGUGCUAACCACCACACCACCGUGCCGCCCCACUAAUGAAAUCAUAGUUGUGAAUGUUAUUUUCAAUUUCUGCCAAUAGGUGCCCCUAUACACUGGACCUUUAAAUGUUUCAAGUUUGAUGAUUUAUGCACAACUCACAUUAAACAGUGAGCAAUAAAGUAAAUAUUCAUACUGUACGCACUGUCAAUACUGUGCACAAGUCUUAAGUGUAACAAAAGCUAUACAGUGGCGAGAGGCCAAAUGACCAGAACAGUUCAGAUUCACCUGUUUGAAUUCAUCUGUUUCUAAUUAAAAAAAAACAAAACAAAAAAAAAAACAUUUUUCACAAAAUAUUUGCAUCACUGUAUUGAAAGGUAUAACUGUAUUGGUAUCAGUGUAUUAAACUAUGUCUAAUCCUA
Molecule: long non-coding RNA, 2326 nt
Organism: Epinephelus moara (kelp grouper)
Lineage: Eukaryota; Metazoa; Chordata; Actinopteri; Perciformes; Serranidae
Exons: 4
Source: RefSeq, a predicted model, not a curated record